AGUAACACGUGGGCAAUCUGCCCUUCACUCUGGGACAAGCCCUGGAAACGGGGUCUAAUACCGGAUAAUACUUUCUCCCGCAUGGGGGAAGGUUGAAAGCUCCGGCGGUGAAGGAUGAGCCCGCGGCCUAUCAGCUUGUUGGUGGGGUGAUGGCCUACCAAGGCGACGACGGGUAGCCGGCCUGAGAGGGCGACCGGCCACACUGGGACUGAGACACGGCCCAGACUCCUACGGGAGGCAGCAGUGGGGAAUAUUGCACAAUGGGCGAAAGCCUGAUGCAGCGACGCCGCGUGAGGGAUGACGGCCUUCGGGUUGUAAACCUCUUUCAGCAGGGAAGAAGCGAAAGUGACGGUACCUGCAGAAGAAGCGCCGGCUAACUACGUGCCAGCAGCCGCGGUAAUACGUAGGGCGCAAGCGUUGUCCGGAAUUAUUGGGCGUAAAGAGCUCGUAGGCGGCUUGUCACGUCGGAUGUGAAAGCCCGGGGCUUAAC
Molecule: ribosomal RNA, 490 nt
Filed under: Streptomyces sp.
Lineage: Bacteria; Bacillati; Actinomycetota; Actinomycetes; Kitasatosporales; Streptomycetaceae
Description: bacterial SSU rRNA
Rfam family: Bacterial small subunit ribosomal RNA
Source: RNAcentral